RNAcentral lists this ribosomal RNA (254 nucleotides) under uncultured bacterium. Its description in RNAcentral is "partial 16S ribosomal RNA". It matches the Rfam family "Bacterial small subunit ribosomal RNA", at positions 524 to 777 of the family's 1533-position model. The record is from RNAcentral.
UACGUAGGGUGCAAGCGUUAAUCGGAAUUACUGGGCGUAAAGCGUGCGCAGGCGGUUUUGUAAGCCAGAUGUGAAAUCCCCGGGCUUAACCUGGGAAUGGCAUUUGGGACUGCAAGGCUGGAGUACGGCAGAGGAGACUGGAAUUCCUGGUGUAGCAGUGAAAUGCGUAGAGAUCAGGAGGAAUACCGAUGGCGAAGGCAGGUCUCUGGGCCGUAACUGACGCUGAGGAGCGAAAGCAUGGGGAGCGAACAGGA